This is a long non-coding RNA of Pundamilia nyererei, 209 nucleotides long. RefSeq lists it as uncharacterized. NCBI's taxonomy places the organism in Eukaryota, Metazoa, Chordata, Actinopteri, Cichliformes, Cichlidae. The transcript has 4 exons. The record is from RefSeq and is a predicted model, not a curated record.
ACUCCUGUCACAGGCACAACUUCUCAUGCAGAUGAGGACGCAACAAGUGUGGCACAAGAAUCUCUAUUGACUUAAGUUUCAUCAAAGACGCACCAUGAGGAUGAAAGGAUGUGCUUUUAUUUUUGUGAUCAUGGCAAUUUCUGAAACAUUCUCCUUAAACCCAAAUGGGCUAGAAAUAGUGGAUGUUGGUGAAGAAAAGGACAUUCCUG